This 444-nucleotide ribosomal RNA is filed under the name uncultured bacterium. RNAcentral's name for it is "bacterial SSU rRNA". It matches the Rfam family "Bacterial small subunit ribosomal RNA", at positions 355 to 796 of the family's 1533-position model. The record is from RNAcentral.
UAAGGAAUAUUGGUCAAUGGAGGCAACUCUGAACCAGCCAUGCCGCGUGCAGGAAGAAGGCCCUAUGGGUCGUAAACUGCUUUUAUACUGGAGAAAACCCAGGUACGUGUACCUGGUUGAUAGUACAGUAAGAAUAAGGAUCGGCUAACUUCGUGCCAGCAGCCGCGGUAAGACGAAGGAUCCAAGCGUUAUCCGGAUUCAUUGGGUUUAAAGGGUGCGUAGGCGGGUUUAUAAGUCAGUGGUGAAAGCCGAUCGCUUAACGAUCGAACUGCCAUUGAUACUGUAGACCUAGAGUAUAGAUGAUGUUGGCGGAAUAUGACAUGUAGCGGUGAAAUGCAUAGAUAUGUCAUAGAACACCGAUUGCGAAGGCAGCUGACAAAACUAUAACUGACGCUGAUGCACGAAAGUGCGGGGAUCAAACAGGAUUAGAUACCCGCGUAGUCC